UGUGUAGGCGGUUUGGUAAGUCUGGUGUGAAAUCUCCCGGCUCAACUGGGAGGGUGCGCCGGAAACUGCCGGACUCGAGUGCGGGAGAGGAGAGUGGAAUUCCUGGUGUAGCGGUGAAAUGCGUAGAUAUCAGGAGGAACACCGGUGGUGUAGACGGCUCUCUGGACCGUAACUGACGCUGAAACACGAAAGCGUGGGUAGCAAACAGGAUUAGAUACCCUGGUAGUCCACGCCCUAAACGAUGCAUAUUUGGUGUGGGUCAUUCAGUUGAUCCGUGCCGGAGCUAACGCGUUAAAUAUGCCGCCUGGGGAUACAGUCGCAAGGCUGAA
RNAcentral lists this ribosomal RNA (329 nucleotides) under uncultured bacterium. RNAcentral describes it as "bacterial SSU rRNA". It matches the Rfam family "Bacterial small subunit ribosomal RNA", at positions 568 to 898 of the family's 1533-position model. The record is from RNAcentral.